AGCGCAGGCGGGAAGACAAGUUGGGAGUGAAAUCUAUGGGCUCAACCCAUAAACUGCUUUCAAAACUGUUUUUCUUUGAGUAGUGCAGAGGUAGGCGGAAUUCCCGGUGUAGCGGUGGAAUGCGUAGAUAUCGGGAGGAACACCAGUGGCGAAGGCGGCCUACUGGGCACCAACUGACGCUGAGGCUCGAAAGUGUGGGUAGCAGACA
This 208-nucleotide ribosomal RNA is filed under the name uncultured bacterium. RNAcentral's name for it is "partial 16S ribosomal RNA". It matches the Rfam family "Bacterial small subunit ribosomal RNA", at positions 568 to 774 of the family's 1533-position model. The record is from RNAcentral.